Molecule: small nucleolar RNA, 65 nt
Filed under: Ornithorhynchus anatinus (platypus)
Lineage: Eukaryota; Metazoa; Chordata; Mammalia; Monotremata; Ornithorhynchidae
Description: Small nucleolar RNA Z39 (ENSOANG00000019011.2)
Rfam family: Small nucleolar RNA Z39
About the family: Z39 is a member of the C/D class of snoRNA which contain the C (UGAUGA) and D (CUGA) box motifs.
Source: Rfam by way of RNAcentral
GUACAGGUGAUGUGGCAAAAUUCAGUAUGAGUAUAACUAUGAUACUGUAAACGCUUUCUGAUGUA